This 497-nucleotide ribosomal RNA is filed under the name uncultured bacterium. Its description in RNAcentral is "partial 16S ribosomal RNA". It matches the Rfam family "Bacterial small subunit ribosomal RNA", at positions 28 to 507 of the family's 1533-position model. The record is from RNAcentral.
GAUGAACGCUGGCGGCGUGCCUAAUACAUGCAAGUCGAGCGAACAGACGAGGAGCUUGCUCCUCUGACGUUAGCGGCGGACGGGUGAGUAACACGUGGAUAACCUACCUAUAAGACUGGGAUAACUUCGGGAAACCGGAGCUAAUACCGGAUAAUAUAUUGAACCGCAUGGUUCAAUAGUGAAAGACGGUUUUGCUGUCACUUAUAGAUGGAUCCGCGCCGCAUAAGCUAGUUGGUAAGGUAACGGCUUACCAAGGCGACGAUGCGUAGCCGACCUGAGAGGGUGAUCGGCCACACUGGAACUGAGACACGGUCCAGACUCCUACGGGAGGCAGCAGUAGGGAAUCUUCCGCAAUGGGCGAAAGCCUGACGGAGCAACGCCGCGUGAGUGAUGAAGGUCUUCGGAUCGUAAAACUCUGUUAUUAGGGAAGAACAAAUGUGUAAGUAACUAUGCACGUCUUGACGGUACCUAAUCAGAAAGCCACGGCUAACUACGUG